UACGGGGGGGGCAAGCGUUGUUCGGAAUUACUGGGCGUAAAGAGCUCGUAGGUGGUUUGUCGCGUUGUUCGUGAAAACUCACAGCUCAACUGUGGGCGUGCGGGCGAUACGGGCAGACUAGAGUACUGCAGGGGAGACUGGAAUUCCAGGUGUAGCGGUGAAAUGCGUAGAUAUCUGGAGGAAUACCGGUGGCGAAGGCGGCAUCCUGGACCGAGAUUGACACUGAGUGAGCGAAAGCCAGGGGAGCAAACGGG
Molecule: ribosomal RNA, 254 nt
Filed under: uncultured bacterium
Lineage: Bacteria
Description: partial 16S ribosomal RNA
Rfam family: Bacterial small subunit ribosomal RNA
Source: RNAcentral